AGAGCCUUCGCUACUUCUCUCCUCUUCUGUGCUGCUCGAACCCGUUCUCCCAAUCUAGGGUUCCAGAGAUCGCGAGGAAGAACCGAAGAAGAGUAGUAGUUCGGUAAAGAGGAAGGAAUGAACCGGAAGCUUAGAAUCCGAAGGAAGCCUACGAAGCGGCGAAGGAGAAGGGGUUUCGCCCAGGUUGUAGUGGAUUAUCCCGCGUCCGAUUGCUACAUUUACGCUGCUGUCCUCGACCCGCUGCCCCCUGAUUCGUUGCCUUCGUCUGCUGCCCCCUCUCCUUCCUCCAGAGAUCGUAGCUAUUGUCAUAACAAACAGAAUGGACUGCCCUGCGAGAUUCGGUAUGAAAUCGACGGAAUGAGAAAAGUGAGGUAUUAAUCUACUUUUCGGAGUUAUCAGAGGAAUUCAAGAUGCAGUGUGCUGAGAUGGUAAGAUUGCUUCUUUACGGUGUACAGACAAAGGGAUAUCUGUAGUGCAUUUGCAGUGGCUAAUUUCAAAAUGACACUGCAGGCACCUGUUACUGAUGAUGAGCACUGGUGAGUAUAUAUUUCUUACUAAUGGUUACUUGGUGAGAUUCUGUUGUAUCAUCUGGUCUUGUUUGUGUUUGUGCCCUUCUUGUUGCUGUAUCUGCAAACUAAAUACUAAACUUUAUUUGUAAACUUUAUCAUUGUGCUGUAUGUAGACAAUACUCUUUUUAUGCCUAUACUAGCAUGUGAAUCAGUGGUGGUUAUUUAGGAUUGGUGUUCUUGUUUCAUUGACAUCUAAGAUCAUUUAGAUUGAUGAAUUUGUUGAAUGCUGUUUUGCUAACUUGACUAUAAUUCUGAUAUAUUUACUUGAUCGAUAAUUGCUUUAUAUAUGGAUUGGCAAGGGUAAUAUUCAUUGUGUGUAAAAGAAAAUGUUUGUUAAUUUAAGAUUUUAUCUGUCUGAUAUGGACUAUUAGGCUAGUAGCUGAUAAUAAAUAAGUCUUUAUAAAUAACAGGUGACAAGCACCAAUUCUGGUUAACAAUAAUUUAUUGGUGUAGAUGUUAUGAAAAUUUACAGAAAUUGAAAUUCUUGGGUCAAUUCUAUUGGAUAAAGUUACUAGAUAGAAGGUUUUAUCAGUGAUAGAUUUAAGCAUGGAUCAAGAUUUUUUUGUUACAAGGAAGUCAGAUUGGGUGAUUUAAGCCAGAUUUGGAUCCUCACUUUUCCUUAUCUAAUUGCACACCGAAUAGGUAAGAAUUUCAUCCUAGUUGCAAUUUUAGCUGAUGAAAUUAUGGGGCACCACUCUGACUUUGACUGAGAUGGAUUUGUAUAGAAGUAGAGAGGGUGAGGCGAGUUUGGCUAUGGAGAGCACUGUUUAUCUCAAAAUCACAAGUGAGCAAUUACAACAAUGCUGACAGUAAGAAUGGUAGUAAUACUCUUUGAAAUUCCAUUUAAAAAUGUGCUUAAUUGAUUUCUCAUGCUAUUUCACUAUGAUUUUGUUCACAAGGUUUCAAUUCUGCAUUAAGAGAGGGUGAUGGUGGCAGCCUUUCAAUUUUCUAUAUAUCUGGGAAGACUAUGAAAAUUAUUACAGCUCUUUCAUUAUGUUUGAAUCAUUCCUAAUAUUUUGAGCAUUGUAAGUGGUAACCAAACAAUCAUUUUCUCGUUGUACUGUAAUGUACUCGGAUCCUGUCGAGUCUUCUUUUCUCCAAUUUUUAGUAGUCUCUCACCUGAUGCUUUACUGAAUAUGAGUAUGUAGGAAAAUUUCAUCAAUUUUCCAGUGUGUGCCUUUCUCAUGUGCAAAGCCCAUUAGUCCUUCUGCCGACUUGGACAUGUGAACUCACUACAAUGUUGGACUGUUUAAGCUUUUGGAACAAGUGGACAACCAACCAUUAUUCUGUCCGUAAUAAAAGCCACAAGUUAUGUCUUCACUCUGAAGAGCACAUACACUUGAUGCAGUAAGAACUUUUUUAAUCCUAAUAACAUCAUCUUAGUAAGACAUGCUUGGCUGAGUUUGAGUCUUGCAUGGUUUUUAAAUGGAGCAAAAAUGCAAGGAACUUAACAAAAAUGGAGAAAAAAUGGAAAUUAACCAUUAUAGAAACUUAAGAAGGUUUUGAAGUUGGUCCUCCGAAAUAGCAUUAUCAUGGCUUUGAUGGACUUUUUUAACAUAUGCUUUAUAUUUGGAAUAGGUGAUUUUUAUGUGUGGUUCUCAAUUGUGACCACUGCAAUAUCUAGUUGGUUUUGAAAGUUCAAAUUCCAUUUUUUAGUAUCAGUAAUAUAAACUUCCACAGAUGUUAGUUUUCACUAUCAUUCUCUAUUACACUUCAUCAAGAACACUUGAUAAAAUACUCCACAUGAUUGCAUAUAUUUUAACCAAUGACAAGAAUGUUUAUGCUGAGUAAAAAAAGAUUAAAAUGAGAAAACUAAGGAGAAAAAAAGAAAUGGAAGGAAGAUUUCCUCUUUUUGCUUCUAUGUUUGUCAACUAUGAGGUAUGAACAUCGAUAUGAGACACAAACAUGGUAUGAUUUUUAUACAUUUCACACCAAAUGAUAGAAGUUGGAUGUAGCCUAAAAGGGAUCCAGUGAUUAAUAAAUAUAUUUUCCCCAUAUGUUAUUUAUUUUUUUAUGCUUUAUAUAAUAUAUAUGAUCUAUGAUUAUCAUAUACAAAAAUUAUGAUAAAUAUGGCAACAAUUUAUGUGGCUAGCAAAUGUUAACAAAUUCUAAAACAUAUACAAAAAAAUAAGGAGCAAAUCAAAUCCAAAUUACAUAUAUUGACAAUAUCCAACAUGUCUAAAGCCUUAUAAAAGAUGAUAUAAGCAUCCUACAUAUACAUGAUACAUUUAUAUAAAUAAGUGUUGAUGGUAUGAGAAUUUUAGCAGGAUUUGAAAUAGUUGACAUGUGUCAAAAAAAGUGUUAAUUGAGUGGCAAGUGCAACCUGGACAUGACAUCGACACAAGUAAUAUGAAGUUCCUGUGGUUCUUUAGUAUUUAAAAAUAGAAUAUUGGAAAGAAGAAAAUAAGAGACUCUGAUCUGAUCUAUCACAUUCCUGUCCUCUCAACAUCUACCUGCUAACAUGUCCUGACUGUAAAGAUAGCAAACUUCUUGUGAUCUCCUCUUUUGGACCUUGUCAUGCACAUCAUAUUGAGUUACUUAGUAUAAUUGCAUGUCUUACAUCCACCGAUGAUGUUUAUUUGACAGUGAGUGAGGAGGAGAAGAGAACUGAUUUUUGCGUUUCUCCUUUCUUUUUCUUACAAGAUACAAUUAAGCUCUUUUGUUCUUUUGAUUGCUAUUUAUCCUUCUAAUAGUUCCUCAUCAUACACUAUAUCAUUUUGUCAAGAAAUCUAAUGAUAGAACUUGACUGCAACAACUUUGUAAGUUUUAGGAACUAAUUGUUACAAAUUGGAAAGUUGGAAUUUGACAUGAAUUUUUUAUGACUUUUGAGUUACUUUUUGUUGAUGAGGACUUCGUGUGAUGAGCUCAUAGAUGGGGAAAGUUACAUGUGCUUUUACUUCCGUAGGAGAUGUCUUUAUUUCUGGUUGUGGGAAGAUUGGUUUAGUAUUACCUGUCUAUUUAAUAGUCAAGUACUUCUAGUUUCAUUUGUUGGCUCAAUGGACACUCCACAUGCAAGCACAUGGUGUAUUAGGCCCACCACCACAAUCUACCAAUUUAUACCAGAUAAACUUUGAUAUCUGUGGUGUUAGUAUCCAGUUUCAUGAUCUGUGAUUGUUCAUGUGACUGUGAUUGCAUGAAAUAAGCUGUGCUGUGGGCUAUGAUAAACAAACCUAGAAAGGUUUUCUUUUGGAACAUCGGAAAACUAGUGGAAAGUGAAAAUUAAGUCAAGCUGUUUCUUUCUGCUUGAGGGAGUUCAUCCUCUUUUCUCCUUACAUGUAAUGGUGGCAAAGUUAGAUUGGCAAGAUCCGAGAAACAUGGGUGACAAGAUGUCGAACUGUUCCUUCUAUCACUAUCAUGUGGUUUUGAGAGAAAGGAAUAUAGUGUAGAUGGUACUUGAAAUGACCCAAUUAAUCUUUGGAGCAGGGACAAGAGGAUCCUUAACCUAUGCCUUACCAUUGUCAUUGCCAUAUUCUCCUUCUCAUGUUUUCGUCUUUAACCAUCAGAGUAAUAAGCAUUUCUUGUGCUGUGGAUGCACCCUUGUCUAGCUAUACGUUACAGUAUCAGAUUUUAUUUGAAUACUGCUGUCCUUCCCCACGUAUUGUAUUCUUAUAUUAUUGCAGAUAAGUCUAAUAAGGAACAUUGCCUCACUGAAGAUUUCUAUGGCAGAUGAAGAGAAACAUGGCCACCGAAGCAAAGGAUUCAAUGAUCAUUUUCCUACAAUAACAGGUUGAAUCAUUUCACAAUGAUAACCCAAGAGGACAUGAUGGAUUUGCUGAAACUCACAGGAAGAAACACAACAUAAUGGGUAGGACAUACAGAAGAGUACAAAAACUCACUUUCCAGCUAACAUGGGGGUGGUUGUUUUGCAGAUGAAAGAGAACACAUUGUCACACACCAUGGUGGCUCAGUAUCUUCUUGAGAACAGUGGCCUUCAGCUUCAGAAAUGAAAUAUAGUCAGCAGUCCUCUGAAGCAAUGCCUGCAACCCAACACUCCUGCAACCAGGCACAACCUUCUUUAGCUUCCUAAGCUUACUGAGCUCCAGAUGCUGCAGGGGCUUCCUCUCUCUCAGGGACACCAUUCCUCUACUUCCCCUUCUUGCACGAGGUGAAGCCCUUCUCAUCGCUGAGGACCUGGUCAUGCAGAGGACAGUGAUGAGAGGAAGGGAAGGCAGGGAGGAGGGUAUAAAUAGAGGCUGCAACUGGCCAUGCAAGUGACAGUGGUGAGGGAUGGGGAAAGGCAGGAGGUAAAGCAGACAUGAGGCCAGGUUAUCUCACUCUGGCUGCAUGUGGAUAGAAUUAUUGGCUUCUCUCUCAUGCAAAGCCAAUCAAGUCAAGCAAUAGUACCACAGGAAGACACUCCUCACCUCCUGAGUUGACAUAUAUGAGUUUUCAGUGUGCCAAGGAAGGACAAGGCACAGUCUUCUUGUUACUGAUAAACGAGGGUCCAAGCAGGUGAUACAGGAAGACAUUGAUGCAGAGUCAUUGUUUGUUGGACCCCAAGAACAAGCUUGAGUUUGUUAUCUUUCUAUGUCAUUUCCAUGUCUUAGGUUGCUCACCUUGUUUGGACCUAAUUUAGCGCGAUUACCCGACAAUAAUUUAGGGUUGAGCAUGUCAAACUUGGAUUUAGUCUAGCAUAGCUUUUCUUCAUCAGAUUAUGAGAUAUCCCUCUCAUGGCAUAUGAUGCUAGAGCUACAAUCAUUGAUCAAAGAUUUGACCACAUGAUCAUGGAUGCUCUGGUGGAUGCUAAGGUGUCGUGUAUGUACAUUUGUUUCAUUAAACGCAAAGAUGUCAGUUAACUUAGUCAGUAAAUGAUUAAUAAAAUCUAUUACAUG
Molecule: non-coding RNA, 5401 nt
Organism: Musa acuminata subsp. malaccensis (wild Malaysian banana)
Lineage: Eukaryota; Viridiplantae; Streptophyta; Magnoliopsida; Zingiberales; Musaceae
Source: RefSeq, a predicted model, not a curated record